GUUGCUUCUAACUGAAUAAAUGGCCCAGUUUUCUAUCUCUUCAUUUGCAGUGGGAAGCAUAUAUGAAAUGCCAGUAUUAAACAACAUGAUGCUCCUAUUGCAUCUUGUUACCUGUCUCCUGGUAAACUA
Molecule: small nucleolar RNA, 129 nt
Organism: Magnolia sinica
Lineage: Eukaryota; Viridiplantae; Streptophyta; Magnoliopsida; Magnoliales; Magnoliaceae
Product: small nucleolar RNA snoR137
Exons: 1
Source: RefSeq, a predicted model, not a curated record